UCACUUAUUUUUUGUAAAACACAAACAAUCAACAACAAAGAACUCAUCAUACAAAUCCAUCCUCUCUUCAAUUUCACAGCAAUACUCCUCUUCAUCAAAAACCCUCACUUCAAUCCCAGCUUCAUAACAACAACCCAUUCCGCAUACUCCCUUAAUAUCCCAUUCACCCCCCUUCAUCUGGCCCUUAAAUAUCCGCAUUACCGCUCCUCCACCGUUCUCGUCUUCAUCACCGGUUCACAAUAUCCACAACCACACCAUCAACCAUCGUUGAUCAUUGUGCUCCAACUCCUCCGUCUUUCUCAGCUAUUUUCUGCAGAUAUCAUCCAUCUCAACUCACCGCAAUUUUCCGUCAAGCAGUUCAUUCGACACAUUGAAGCUACCUUACCGCAACAAUCAUCAUCCUCAUUGCUGAUUCUGCCUUCCAGAUCCGCGCCAUGCGAUUUGUCUCCAAUUUUCCAAUGUUUCUGUUUUCAGGUUUUAGGUAUGUUUCAAUCCCUUUACUACUGUAUUGCUAAAAUUGUGAGAACUUUGUGUUUGUAUUUUGUUUUGAUUUAA
Vicia faba (fava bean) is the source of this 555-nucleotide non-coding RNA. Lineage: Eukaryota; Viridiplantae; Streptophyta; Magnoliopsida; Fabales; Fabaceae. The record is from the annotation of a GenBank genome assembly.